RNAcentral lists this ribosomal RNA (293 nucleotides) under uncultured eukaryote. RNAcentral's name for it is "partial 18S ribosomal RNA". It matches the Rfam family "Eukaryotic small subunit ribosomal RNA", at positions 6 to 270 of the family's 1831-position model. The record is from RNAcentral.
GGUUGAUCCUGCCAGUAAUCAUACGCUUGUCUCAAAGAUUAAGCCAUGCAUGUCUAAGUAUAAACGAUUUUAACUGUUGAAACUGCGAAUGGCUCAUUAAAUCAGUUAUAGUUUAUUUGAUAGUAAAUUUAUUACAUGGAUAACCGUAGUAAAUCUAGAGCUAAUACAUGCAAAAUAAUGGUUGACUGAAGGAAGGGGUAAAACUCUUUUUUCAGAAGACUUGUAUUUAUUAGAUAAAAAAACCAAUAAUUAAACUUUUUAUCGAGUUUAAUUUUUUUUAAUUUUUGGUGAUU